Molecule: long non-coding RNA, 277 nt
Filed under: Carica papaya (papaya)
Lineage: Eukaryota; Viridiplantae; Streptophyta; Magnoliopsida; Brassicales; Caricaceae
Description: long non-coding RNA (CPAP_LNC013326)
Source: RNAcentral
AAGAAGUUCAAGUGGAAUACUUGUUGAGAAGGCUUGACUGAUAUGAACAUGUAUAGUUUUGUCAUCUUCACUCAUUUUGGAGUGUAGUGGGAGCAUGGAUCAGAGAAAAUUAUAUGGAGAUUCAUGGUCUUCAAGCAUAAUUAACUAGUUAUAUUAUUUUUUAAAUUACAAAUUAGUCUUUAUUUAAUAAGUAAUAGAAUUAAAGGUUGUAGUAACCUUUCCAAAUAUUUAUGUACUGACCUUAUUAAUAAUAUUCUGUCUCAAACGCAAAAGAAAG